RNAcentral lists this unclassified non-coding RNA (386 nucleotides) under uncultured Verrucomicrobiae bacterium. RNAcentral describes it as "contains 16S-23S intergenic spacer region". Lineage: Bacteria; Pseudomonadati; Verrucomicrobiota; Verrucomicrobiia. The record is from RNAcentral.
UCCAGCUUAUCGCUGGCGGUCUGUCCAGAGUGCUUCCUUCUCUCGAAGGAGUGGCAACAGGACACAAGGGUUGCGCUCGUUGCGGGACUUAACCCAACAUCUCACGACACGAGCUGACGACAGCCAUGCAGCACCUGUGCAAGCUUCCCUUGCGGGAUCGUCCCACUUUCAUGGUUCUACUACUUGCAUGUCAAGGCCAGGUAAGGUUCUUCGCGUUGCAUCGAAUUAAGCCACAUACUCCACCGCUUGUGCAGGCCCCCGUCAAUUUCUUUGAGUUUUAAUCUUGCGACCGUACUUCCCAGGCGGCGCAUUUAUCGCGUUAGCUUCGCCACAAACUGGGUCGAUUCCGUUUACAGCAAAUGCGCACCGUUUACAGCCAAGACUAC